RNAcentral lists this ribosomal RNA (253 nucleotides) under uncultured bacterium. Its description in RNAcentral is "partial 16S ribosomal RNA". It matches the Rfam family "Bacterial small subunit ribosomal RNA", at positions 524 to 776 of the family's 1533-position model. The record is from RNAcentral.
UACGUAGGCAGCAAGCGUUGUUCGGAAUUACUGGGCGUAAAGAGUGUGUAGGCGGUGCUCCAAGUCUGGUGUGAAAUCUCCCGGCUUAACUGAGAGGGUGCAUUAGAAACUGGAAUGCUAGAGGAUGGGAGAGGUAAGCGGAAUUCCUGGUGUAGCGGUGAAAUGCGUAGAUAUCAGGAGGAACACCUGUGGUGUAGACAGCUUACUGGACCAUUUCUGACGCUGAGACACGAAAGCGUGGGUAGCAAACAGG